CCUACGGGAGGCAGCAGUGAGGAAUAUUGGUCAAUGGUCGGGAGACUGAACCAGCCAAGCCGCGUGAGGGAUGAAGGUACAGAGUAUCGUAAACCUCUUUUGUCAGGGAACAAAGGCGGGGACGUGUCCCCGGAUGAGUGUAACUGACUAAGAAGCCCCGGCUAACUACGUGCCAGCGGCCGCGGUAAUACGUAGGGGGCGAGCGUUAUCCGGAUUCACUGGGGGUAAAGGGAGCGUAGACGGCCAUGCAAGCCAGGGGUGAAAGCCCGGGGCCCAAACCCGGGACUGCCCUUGGAACUGAAUGGCUGGAGGGCGGGAGGGGCAGGCGGAAUUCCUGGUGUAGCGGUGAAAUGCGUAGAUAUCAGGAGGAACACCGGCGGCGAAGGCGGCCUGCUGGACCGCGACUGACGUUGAGGCUCGAAAGCGUGGGGAGCGAACAGGAUUAGAUACCCGGGUAGUC
This 460-nucleotide ribosomal RNA is filed under the name uncultured bacterium. Its description in RNAcentral is "partial 16S ribosomal RNA". It matches the Rfam family "Bacterial small subunit ribosomal RNA", at positions 338 to 795 of the family's 1533-position model. The record is from RNAcentral.